Molecule: long non-coding RNA, 4642 nt
Organism: Penaeus indicus
Lineage: Eukaryota; Metazoa; Arthropoda; Malacostraca; Decapoda; Penaeidae
Exons: 2
Source: RefSeq, a predicted model, not a curated record
ACGUGCUUGCGGUGAAAACAUCGAAGUCACAAGGAGUUUUAUAUACCUUGGUAGUGCAGUUCAUGACUCUGGGCUGUCAGACCAGGAAGUCAGUAGACGGAUUGGCCUGGCAGCAGGGGUCAUGAAAUCUCUCGACAAGAGUACAGAUAGUCCCCGACUUAAGAACAUUCUACUUACGCACAUAACGUACAUACGAACAUUUUUUUUUUUUCUUUCUUUCUUUUUUUUAAUACUUAAGUCAAAAAAAUUGGUUGAAAGAUGCUAGCAAACUUCAAAUUUCCCGGGCGCGAAUAUAGUUCACGAGUCUGCCACGCCGCGGCGCCGCCGCGCUCACCCAGCUGUGCCAUCACUCGCCUGCCCUCCCGUCAUAAAUACGAAAGCCUCUCUUCACUGUGUCCUUGUGUACCGACAAUUUUUGUGCCAUAAUUCGCGUUAUCUGUGCAUCAAUCCAUCAAAAAUGUCGGGUGUGAAGAGAAAGAUAGACGGUGAAGCCAGUGGAAUUGCCAAGAAAUGUCACACUAUAACUUUAUGGAUCUUAUCAAUUGGUUCGCCAGCCAGUCAUCACUACAAUAUAUUUUCUUUUUGAAUAAAUUAUGUUUCUACAUUUAAAGUUAUAUAAAUCACCAAAUAAUAAUAUCUCAUUCAUGACGGGUGACGCGCUAGGCGUGAAAAGAAACCGCACGAAAAGUGCGGCUGUACGCGGCGGCGGCGCCAAAGCGCGGCGAACCAGUGAUUCGGCCUGAUGUACGGAACUCGCGCUCUCAAGUCGGCGCGCUGCCAUUGUUUACCAGAGCGUAGAGUUUUUUAUUUGCCUGUCACCACUACACUAUAUUUUCUUUUUUGAAUAAAUUAUGUUUCUACAUUAAAGUUGUAUGAAUCACCAUCAAAUAGUAUUAAAAGCAUUACAUAUUACAGGUACCGUAUAAGGUAUGUCGUCGUACUUAUUGGGAUUUAUGUACUGGUAUUCUUAAUGUAAACAAAACUUUAAAACAAUGGGGGAAAAAGGCAAUGGAGACCCGACUUUCGACAUACGAUCAAAUCGACUGUCCAUAAGUUGGGGACUUUCUGUAUUUGGAGAUGCCGGUACCUGUGCAGAAGGACCAAGCUACGAGUUUUCAAGGCCCUGAUACUGCCAGUUUUAUUAAAUGGUAGUGAAACUUGGACGCUAUCUUGUGCUUUGGAAUCUCGUCUCGAUGCAAUUUGUAACAGGUCCUUGCGCAGGAUCAUGGGGUACAGUUGACGGGACCAUGUGUCCAACCAACAGCUACACCGUGAGACUGGUACAGGACCUGUUACUUGCACAAUCCGUGAUCACCAACUCAGGCUGUAUGGCCACUUGGCUCGAUUCCCGCAGGAUGAUCCUGCCCAUCAGGUUGUCUCUUUCCGAGACAAUCCUGGGUGGAGGAGGCCUGUGGGACGACCGAGAAGGUCGUGCUUGGGCAGAUUGAUCAAACCUGUCAUGAGGAACUAGAGAUGGGCCGGGUCCCUGCCUGGCGGCUCGCCAUGAGAGACCCUCGCAGGUGGAAACGAAGGGUGGACGCGGCUAUGCGCUCCUACCGGCGUUAGCUCCCAAAUGAUGAUAUAUAUGUAUAUAUAUAUAUCAUAUGUAUGUAUAUAUAUCAUAUAUAUAUAUCAUAUAUUUAUGUAUAUUAUCUUUUAUAUAUAUAUAUUAUAUUUAUAUUUUAUAUAUAUGUAUAUAUGAUAUAAAUAUGAUAUACAAAUAAAUAAAUAUUUUAUAUAUAUAUAUACAGUAAGUCAACAACUUAAGAACAUAAUGGGGACCAAGAGGCUGUUUGUAAGUUGAUUUGUUUGUAUGUCGAAAGUCGGGUCUCCAUUACCCUUUUUCCCCUUGUUUUAAAGUUUUGUUUACAUUAAGAAUACCUGCAAAUCAAUCCCAAUAAGUACUGCAUACUUUAUACAGUAACAGACUCUUGAACUAUAUUCGCGCCCGGGAAGUUUGCUAGCAUCUUUCAAACAAUUUUUUGGACUUUAGUUCUUAAAAUUUUUUGUUUGUAUGUGUGGAAUGUUCUUAAGUAGGGGACUAUCUAUAUAUAUAUAUAUAUAUAUAUUAUAUUUGUUACAUUAUAUAUAUAUCUAUAUUAUAUAUAUUAUAUUAUUAUUUUAUAUGUAUAUAUAUAUGUUAUACAAAUUUACAAUUAUUUGAUAAAUACGCCAAGCUCUUUCUCGAAUAAAUCGCUUAAAGCAUACAAGUCUCUGGAAGCCUACAUUUUCUUCAAUUGUGGCCAUGUUCAAGACGUUUUUUUACCAUGUAAUCGACAAGAGCAGUAAUUUCUGUUUCAUUAACCCAUUCCCGCCGGGCAUGCCAUGCCAUGCCCACUGUGAGAUUACUUGUUGGAUUGUUUUUACACAUAGAUGGCUACACUUGUACUAAAUCACCAAUGAGCCAGUUACGAGCACCGCCCGUCUCGCCCGUUUACCCGUUUCUUUGAUUUACGAAAUAUUUUACGUUAUCUUAUUUUGCUGUUACUAAUGUUAAAAAACAUUAUAAAAAUUAUAAUGUUUAAAAUGAAAAUAACACCAACGAUAUUCAUGGCACAAGUGAAAAAUACGUUUUUCCCACUAUUUCAAAUCAGGCACCAACAGAGCCAUCUAUGGGCAAAAAAACUUAAACAAAAAAAGUGUAGAAAAUAGGCACAGUAUUUUCCCCAUUUUUUGUUCAUUUUCCCCGGCGGCAAUGGGUUAAGUCUGAAGUACAGUAAAUCUAUUUUGUUUCAGUUUAUCGAAACUUUACCAACAGCAAUUCAUUUAUUCAGAACAGAAAAUUACAGCAUAUUUUAUGUUCAUAGUUUGUUUUACUUACAAUUUUGAGAGGGUAACUUUCAGUGAGACGACUUGAAUGCUGGAAUCAAUCUAUAUUUUCUCCACAUCGCACCAGGAUGGCCUCAUCCAGCAAUACUGCAAGAUAAAUUGUCUUUGUUGACCAUCAUAUUUUGCUCAUUGUUGUCAUAGGGGGGCUUAGGAGAUGGAGACUGGGGCCCAGUGUAGGGGAUUGCCAUUGUUUCAACUAAUUUUGCAUGGUCUUCUCCCCCUUUUCCCUUUUCUUCUUCAUCCCCUUCUGUCCACUUCCUAAGGUAUGAGAACUGGGCUGAAAGGAUGGCUUUGUGUUAGCCUUGAAUGGUCUUCGGGAGCCAUAGGCACUAUGUUUUCUUGGUUGAUCGCCUACCCAAAUAAUCAAGAUUUUUAUUUACCCUCAUUAGGAACAUCAAGACUUGUCCCUUCAUUAACUAGUUUAUCUAAAUUUGAUUUCAUUGGUUUCCUGACCAGUCUCUCCUUUGAUUGCUGCCAACUCUAUCCAUUCUGUGCUUUAUAUACCCUGACUGAUUGUUCUUUUUUACGACAAGGACUGGUCAGACUGUGAAAACUUGUUUGCAUGCCUCGUCAACUGUGAUACAGUGGUGGUCCAGUACUAUACUAUUACUCCCAGAGCCAUAAGACAUAACCUCCCCCAUAAUAUUUAUAUAGGUGAGGUGUUUGUCCUGCCUGACAUUAUAGACCCUUUCCCCAUCAUUGUCAGAAAUGGUGGUUUGGCCACCCAGCCAAACACUCACUCUACAGCCCACUGUUCUCUAUGUGCCAUCCUGAUCAUGACCAUUCAAAUUGCUCUGCCCUCCAAUCCCUCUAUUCCUAUUCAAUCGACAUUCAAAGUAUUUGCUGAUAUCCAUCCCCUUCCACCUCAAGUUCCCCCUACCCCACUUCCUUCCAAUUUCUCAAAAAGCAUCAGUAUUCCCUCUUUCCUCAUUAUCCUUACCACUUUCACCCGGAUGCUCACAUGACUCCCUUAUGUCACAACAAUGUCCUCUGGAUCCAUCCACUCCUGACAUUCUUCCCAAUACUUCACCAGCUGCCCCUGUUCCCUUAUCUCAUUCUUUGGAUUCUUCUCCUACUUCUAUUGUGGCUAUUGUGCCUAUUAGUUAUGGAUAGAUAAACUCACGUAAAUCCGAGGGAGAACAUCGGUCUGGGUGACUGGAAACAUCUUCACUGGAACACUUGUCAACCAUAGGUGCACAGGAUGUAAUUGGUACUACUGGUAGGAACCGAUGAUUUCUCCAAAACAUUGGUUCUGAAGGUGUUUGGAGAAGGUAGUCACAGCUCUGGCCAAGUCCCAUGAUUAAAGCUGCUUUAUCCCAUCGCCUGAAGACAGGAUCUUGUAUCCAGACAUAAUUAAUUUUAAUUUUAAUUUAGUUUGAUUCCAUUUGUUACAAUGGAUAUUCUUGGUGUGACAUACUGUCUUGUUUUAUUUUGCUUCUAAAUUAUCCCCUGUGUGCAAGGAAUGGCCGGGGUUACCAUCCACUGGUGGCGAGGAAUUCGAACGCAGGUCAGCAAGAUUGCUAGACGAGAUCGCUACCGCUGAACCACACCGCACACAUAAGUGAUGAAGGGAAUUGUUACAAGAUAUAUUAAGAGAGAUAGAAUCCCGGGACACUAAUCUCAGCUUAAUCACUCAUGGUUUUUCUCCACUUAUCAUAAGGGCUGUGAUUGAUAUUCUCGUUGAGAUUAUUACCUUCCACGAGGCUUAACCCAAGCAAAAUUGCUGUUUCUGAUUAAUGUAAUUUCUAGUAUAUUUAGAAUGUCUUUCUUAACAAUUUUCAAAUAUAUGACUAAUCAAUAAAUUGUGAAAAUA